AAUAUUGCACAAUGGGCGAAAGCCUGAUUCAGCUACGCUGCGUGAGUGAUUAAGGCCUUCGUGUCGUAAAGCUCUCUGAUCAGGGAUGAUAAUGACAGUACCCGAAAAACAAGCUACGUCUAACUACGUUCCAGCAGCCGCGGUAAUCCGUAGGUGGCGAGCGUUGUCCGGAAUUACAGCGCGUAAAGUGUUCCUAGGUGGAUACUUAAGUGGGAUGUGAAAUCCCCGGGCUCAACCCGGGAACUGCAUUCCAAACUGGGUAUCUAGAGUGCAGGAGAGGAAAGCGGAAUUCCUAGUGUAGCGGUGAAAUGCGUAGAUAUUAGGAGGAACACCAGUGGCGAAGGCGGCUUUCUGGACUGUAACUGACACUGAGGCAUGAAAGCGUGGGUAGCAAACAGG
This 399-nucleotide ribosomal RNA is filed under the name uncultured bacterium. Its description in RNAcentral is "partial 16S ribosomal RNA". It matches the Rfam family "Bacterial small subunit ribosomal RNA", at positions 360 to 776 of the family's 1533-position model. The record is from RNAcentral.